RNAcentral lists this ribosomal RNA (520 nucleotides) under uncultured Cenococcum. RNAcentral's name for it is "eukaryotic LSU rRNA". The stretch from base 212 to 365 matches the Rfam family "5.8S ribosomal RNA". The record is from RNAcentral. Lineage: Eukaryota; Fungi; Ascomycota; Dothideomycetes; Gloniales; Gloniaceae.
AUUCUUGGUCAUUUAGAGGAAGUAAAAGUCGUAACAAGGUUUCCGUAGGUGAACCUGCGGAAGGAUCAUUACAGAAAGUAAACGCGGAUCAAACCGCGAACUUCUAAACCUUUGACGAUUGACUCAUGUUGUCUCGGCGGGUUCUCCCGCCAGAGGAUACAUCAAAACUCCUGUUUUAACGGUGUUGUCUGAGCUACAAGCAACGAAUCAAAACUUUCAACAACGGAUCUCUUGGUUCUGGCAUCGAUGAAGAACGCAGCGAAAUGCGAUAAGUAGUGUGAAUUGCAGAAUUCAGUGAAUCAUCGAAUCUUUGAACGCACAUUGCGCCCCUUGGUAUCCCGAGGGGCAUGCCUGUUCGAGCGUCAUUUCACCACUCAAGCCUGGCUUGGUGUUGGGCGACGUCCCCUUUGGGGACGCGCCUCGAAACGCUCGGCGGCGUGGCACCGGCUUUAAGCGUAGCAGAAUCUUUCGCUUUGAAAGUCGGGGCCCCGUCUGCCGGAAGACCUACUCGCAAGGAUGA